This 1256-nucleotide ribosomal RNA is filed under the name uncultured marine eukaryote. Its description in RNAcentral is "SSU rRNA". It matches the Rfam family "Eukaryotic small subunit ribosomal RNA", at positions 383 to 1806 of the family's 1831-position model. The record is from RNAcentral.
UCGGAGAGGGCGCAUGAGAAACGGCUACCACAUCUACGGAUGGCAGCAGGCGCGCAAAUUACCCAAUGCAGACACUGUGAGGUAGUGACGAGAAAUAAUAAAGCGGGACUUCUGUUUCGCUAUUAUAAUGAGGAAUAACCAAAGGUCAUUCCGAUUAGCAACUGAUGGGAAAGUCUGGUGCCAGCAGCCGCGGUAAUACCAGCGUCAGUAGCAUAUAUUAAAAUUGUUGCAGUUAAAACGUCCGUAGUCUGUACGUCGUCCCAAACUCACUGCAGUCUUCCGUUUUCUUAAUUGAAUGCGGUAGUUUCUGCAGUCACUCCCUUGAUCAAAUUAGGUUGUUCAAGGUAGACCAAGUCUUCAUAUUUUCACAUGGAAUUGGGUGAGGGAACUUAAGAGUUUAAGUUUCUCGUCUUAGGAUCAUCCGGGGUCAUUCGUACUCGUCCGCGAGAGGUGAAAUUCUUGGACCGGACGAAGACGACCAGCAGCAGCGAAAGCAUCUGUCAGGGAUGUUUUCUGCGACAAAGGACGAAGGUCAGGGUAUCGAAGACGAUUAGAUACCGUCGUAGUCCUGACUGUAAACUAUGCCAACUUGGGUCUUGCUGGGCGAUGCUUUGUGAGACCCACACAGAAAUGAAAGUGUAUGGGUUCUGGGGGUAGUAUGGACACAAGUCUGAAACUUGAAGGAAUUGACGGAAGAGCACCAUAAGACGUGGAGCUUGCGGCUUAAUUUGACUCAACGCGGGAAAACUUACCAGGUCAAGACAUGGGCGUGAUUGACAGGCUAAUGACUUUUCUCGAUUCCAUGGAUGGUGGUGCAUGGUCGCACUUAGUUGGUGCAGUGAUUUGUCAGGUUUAUUCCGGUAACGAACGAGACCUCGGCCUUGUAAAUAGCUAUGCUGCUUACAGGGACAUUGGCGGCUACGCCAAGGAGGCUCGAGGCAAUUGCAGAUCUGGAAUGCCCUUAGAUGUCCUGGGUCGCACGCGUGCUACAAUGACGCCACGAACGAGCUUGCAUGAUGAAAGUUAUGCAUAAUCAGCAGUCGGCGUCUUAAGGGAUAGUCUCUUGUAACUGUGGGACUCCAACUAGGAAUGUCUCGUAAGCACAAGUCAACAUCUUGUGUUGAUUACAUCCCUACUCUUUGCACACACCGCCCGUCGCUCCUACCGAUCGAGUGUUUAGGUGAAUUUGAUGGACGUAAGGAAGUCAAAUAAACCUGAGCACUUAGAGGAAGGAGAAGUCGUAACAAGGUAGCCGU